This 117-nucleotide ribosomal RNA is filed under the name Carlito syrichta (Philippine tarsier). Lineage: Eukaryota; Metazoa; Chordata; Mammalia; Primates; Tarsiidae. The record is from RNAcentral.
UACAGGGGCCAUGGCAGCCUGAACUCGCUGGAUCUCACGAGAACUUGUAAAGCUAAGCAGGAUCCGGCGGGGUUUCUCCGGAUGGGAAAGUGCUGAGAUAACUGGGUGCCUCCUUAG